AUCAAUUAUCAUCCAUAAUUAAAGUUGUUCUAAGUAAUAAUCUUUUUUGCUUCUUUUAAUAUCUUUCACGCUCAAUCUUUAAUUUUAGGCUAACAUUUUUGACUUUCUACUAAAGUUUCUUCUUCUUUUAUUUAUUUUUUGUGCAGAAAAGAGGAUUGUGCUUCUUUUCAAGCUGCUUGCUUCCUACUUGUGUAUUGUGAAGCUUGUUGGAUUAUGGGUACAUAUAUAUAUAUAUAUGGAGAGAUAUGAGAAGAAUAUAUAUAUGUAAUUAUACCUUCUUCUUUUUUGGGUACUUAAUAUUAGGAUAUUCUCGGAUCAGUUUACACGAAUCAUCCGAUUGGAUUCCAAUGGAAUGUGGAGAAUAUUGUUGAAUAUUAUUACUAUUAGUUUCUAAUUACUGAAGGGUUUAUUUUUAUUUUCUUGAAUUUGCUUCUCUAUUUUGGCAUUGGAGAAAAUGGAAAUUAUAUAUAUUUAUAUAUUGAUAUGGAGCUGUGAAUAUUCUUCCCCUUUCUAUGAGAAAAGAAAAGGCAAAAGAAAAAGAAAAAGAAAAAGAGUAUUUUCUAUGAAUUUGCAUUGCAUCAUCUUCUCUUCUCUCUUUUGUUUUUUUUUUUGUCAAAGUCAUGAUAUCGUUUCAUAAAACUAACCUUUCAAGCUCCAUAUUAGACCACUCUACUUGUUUUUGAAGGUACAUAAUACAUUAAUGAACUGACUGAUUGAGACGUGUUUAACUGUGUAAUGUUUAGAUCACGUGAAUCUCUUUAUUGUAAGAAACUUUGUUUGGUCUUAUUUCAUGUUUUAGAGUUUGACAAGUUUGAAAUACUUACCAAUAUUAUUGGAAAAAGUUUAAAAUGGAAAGAAAGAAAAGAUUUGUAUAAAGCAAAAUCUAAUUGACUUAUUUAUAUCUUUUUUUUUUCUUUUUAUGCAUUGAGAAUUGCCAAAGAUGAAAUAAAAUAAGAUGUCAAAGUUUAAACGUUUGGGUUGAUAGAUGUUAGGUAAGUGACAAUUUGUGAAUAUUUUUCAAUUUUAUUAUUUGACGGAUGAAAAUUUAAUAUAUUGCAUGAAUUUUAAAUACUAUAUCAUUUUAACAAAUAAAAAAUCUUAUUUUUUUUAUUUCAAAUUCAUAAGUUUAAACAUUAAAAAUAUGGUAAAAGUCCAUAAAUUUUAACAAAUUGCAUAAAAAUCUCAUCUAAAUGUUAGAUAAUUUGUUUUUGUAAAAUAAGUUACCAUUGAUUUUUUUUUUUUUUUUUAUGGCUAUGAGCAGGCCAACACCUAAGCCUGUUGAUGAGGACUUGUACAAAAUCCCACCAGAGCUUCUUUAUCAAAAACCCAAAAAGGUAGGCCUUAACUUAGCUUUAGCUUAAAGCUUUAACCUUUAAUCACUAAAUUAUAAUCAAUUAUCAUCCAUAAUUAAAGUUGUUCUAAGUAAUAAUCUUUUUUGCUUCUUUUAAUAUCUUUCACGCUCAAUCUUUAAUUUUAGGCUAACAUUUUUGACUUUCUACUAAAGUUUCUUCUUCUUUUAUUUAUUUUUUGUGCAGAAAAGAGGAUUGUGCUUCUUUUCAAGCUGCUUGCUUCCUACUUGUGUAUUGUGAAGCUUGUUGGAUUAUGGGUACAUAUAUAUAUAUAUAUGGAGAGAUAUGAGAAGAAUAUAUAUAUGUAAUUAUACCUUCUUCUUUUUUGGGUACUUAAUAUUAGGAUAUUCUCGGAUCAGUUUACACGAAUCAUCCGAUUGGAUUCCAAUGGAAUGUGGAGAAUAUUGUUGAAUAUUAUUACUAUUAGUUUCUAAUUACUGAAGGGUUUAUUUUUA
This 1804-nucleotide long non-coding RNA is filed under the name Jatropha curcas. Its description in RNAcentral is "long non-coding RNA (JCUR_LNC000300)". Lineage: Eukaryota; Viridiplantae; Streptophyta; Magnoliopsida; Malpighiales; Euphorbiaceae. The record is from RNAcentral.